RNAcentral lists this ribosomal RNA (497 nucleotides) under uncultured bacterium. RNAcentral's name for it is "partial 16S ribosomal RNA". It matches the Rfam family "Bacterial small subunit ribosomal RNA", at positions 28 to 507 of the family's 1533-position model. The record is from RNAcentral.
GACGAACGCUGGCGGCGUGCCUAAUACAUGCAAGUAGAACGCUGAAGAGAGGAGCUUGCUCUUCUUGGAUGAGUUGCGAACGGGUGAGUAACGCGUAGGUAACCUGCCUUGUAGCGGGGGAUAACUAUUGGAAACGAUAGCUAAUACCGCAUAACAAUGGAUGACACAUUUCAUUUAUUUGAAAGGGGCAAUUUCUCCAUUAAAAGAUGGACCUGCGCUGUAUUAGCUAGUAGGUGAGGUAAUGGCUCACCUAGGCGACGAUACAUAGCCGACCUGAGAGGGUGGUCGGCCACACUGGGACUGAGACACGGCCCAGACUCCUACGGGAGGCAGCAGUAGGGAAUCUUCGGCAAUGGGGGCAACCCUGACCGAGCAACGCCGCGUGAGUGAAGAAGGUUUUCGGAUCGUAAAGCUCUGUUGUAAGUCAAGAACGGGUGUGAGAGUGGAAAGUUCACACUGUGACGGUAGCUUACCAGAAAGGGACGGCUAACUACGUG